GCGAGUCAUUGUAGCAUACAAGGCAUACGGCUCAGUAACGCGUAGUCCACCUAACCUAUGGACGGGAAUAACCUCGGGAAACUGAGAAUAAUGCCCGAUAGAACAUUAUGCCUGGAAUGGUUUAUGUUCCAAAUGAUUUAUCGCCGUAGGAUGGGACUGCGGCCUAUCAGUUUGUUGGUGAGGUAAUGGCCCACCAAGACUAUUACAGGUACGGGCUCUGAGAGGAGUAGCCCGGAGAUGGGUACUGAGACACGGACCCAGGCCCUAUGGGGCGCAGCAGGCGAGAAAACUUUGCAAUGUGCGAAAGCACGACAAGGUUAAUCCGAGUGGUUUCUGCUAAAGAAACCUUUUGUCAGCCCUAGAAACACUGAUGAAUAAGGGGUGGGCAAGUUCUGGUGUCAGCCGCCGCGGUAAAACCAGCACCUCAAGUGGUCAGGAUGAUUAUUGGGCCUAAAGCAUCCGUAGCCGGCUCUGUAAGUUUUCGGUUAAAUCUGUACGCUCAACGUACAGGCUGCCGGGAAUACUGCAGAGCUAGGGAGUGGGAGAGGUAGACGGUACUCGGUAGGAAGGGG
Molecule: ribosomal RNA, 572 nt
Filed under: uncultured crenarchaeote
Lineage: Archaea; Thermoproteati; Thermoproteota
Description: bacterial SSU rRNA
Rfam family: Archaeal small subunit ribosomal RNA
Source: RNAcentral